GUGCCAGCAGCCGCGGUAAUUCCAGCUCCAAUAGCGUAUAUUAAAGUUGCUGCAGUUAAAAAGCUCGUAGUUGGAUUUCUGGCUCGAUAUAUUUUGCCGGCCACGGUUUCGUGUGUUAGUGCUUGAUAUUCUGGCCAUCCUUCCAAUGGCUAUUCAUCCUUCUUCAUUGAGGUGGUGAGUGGUAUUGGAUCUUUUACUUUGAAAAAAUUAGAGUGUUUCAAGCAGGCUUUAUGCUAUGAAUACAUUAGCAUGGAAUAAUAAUUUAGGACUUCGGUUCUAUUUUGUUGGUUUCUAGGACUGAAGUAAUGAUUGAUAGGGAUAGUUGGGGGUGCUAGUAUUCAGCGGCCAGAGGUGAAAUUCUCGGAUUCGCUGAAGACUAACUUAUGCGAAAGCAUUCACCAAGGAUGUCUUCUUUAAUCAAGAACGAAAGUUGGGGGAUCGAAGACGAUCAGAUACCGUCGUAGUCUCAACCAUAAACUAUGCCGACUAGGGAUGAGUGGAACGUUGCAUUUUCGACUUCAUUCGCACCUUAUGAGAAAUC
RNAcentral lists this ribosomal RNA (541 nucleotides) under uncultured Cercozoa. Its description in RNAcentral is "SSU rRNA". It matches the Rfam family "Eukaryotic small subunit ribosomal RNA", at positions 564 to 1099 of the family's 1831-position model. The record is from RNAcentral. Lineage: Eukaryota; Cercozoa.